RNAcentral lists this ribosomal RNA (561 nucleotides) under Triticum aestivum (bread wheat). RNAcentral describes it as "partial small subunit ribosomal RNA". The record is from RNAcentral. Lineage: Eukaryota; Viridiplantae; Streptophyta; Magnoliopsida; Poales; Poaceae.
AUGGAUGUGAAUUUUGUUGGUAGGAACAAUUUUGGUAACAACGCUUAUAGAAGAAACUUUAAUCCUAGGCCGUAUCCUAGUAAUUCCUCUAAUAAUUAUGGCAAUUCCUACAACAAUUCUUUUGGAAAUUUUAAUAAGUUGCCCUCUGAUUUUGAGACUAGUGUUAAAGAGUUUAUGCAUUCGCAAAAGAAUUUCAAUACUUUGCUUGAAGAAAAAUUGCUUAAAGUUGACGAAUUGGCUAGGAACGUGGAUAGAAUUUCUCUUGAUGUUGAUUCUUUGAAUCUUAGAUCUAUUCCACCUAAGCAUGAUAUCAAUGAGUCUCUCAAAGCCAUGAGAAUUUCCAUUGAUGAGUGCAAAGAAAGAACCGCAAGGAUGUGUGCUAAGAAAGAUUGUUUUGUGAAGGCGUGUUCUUCUAGUUUUUAUGAGAAUAAAGAUGAAGAUCUAAAAGUUAUUGAUGUGUCCCCUAUUAAAUCUUUGUUUUUCAAUACGAAUCUUGAUAAUGAUGGGACUGUAGAUGAGUCAACUUUAGUUAGAAGGCGUCCCAAAAAUUCGGAGUUUUUA